CUUCACCCCGCCCCUCCCUUGCUUAGUCGCUCGGCUGGCCCGGCUCACCUUCGGGGUGAAGGCUACCAGCGAGCGUUAUAGCAGACGACUUUAAUAAAUGCAGGCGGCAGCAGGAACUCUGGGAACUUGGGUGCCCUUGCCUGGCAGUAAGGGUUGAAUUAUCCGGAUCUGAAAUACUUUACAGAGCCGAGGGGUGAUAGGCUCUGCAAAAGCACUUUUUGCCCCUCUCCUUUAUGCCAAUACUCGCUGACUGUGCACACAAGUCAUAUUCAGUAUUAAAUACAAACCGGUCUGUAAUUCAAUGGCUCUAGCAAGACGCCUCUGAGAGGGCCAGGUGGCGGGUGCAAGUUGCUCAUUAACCCUUUAGAGUCGCAGUUUGCAGAUCUGAGUUAGAUCCCCGGCUUUGAGGUCCUUCAGUUGCCCUCCUCCCCCACCUCCCCCCGCCACUGCGAGAAAAAUGUGCAAAGAGAAGGAAAUUUGCACAUCAAACGAGGGGCAAUCGCGGCGGUAGAUGAACUUGAUUAGGCAGACGCGUGAGAUCAAAGUGGCCGGGACCAAAGCGGACAGGGUCCAACGUGCCAGCACUGCCAAGAGAAGGCCUUUUGUACUCAGGUUAAAUAAGAACAUCCUGCAAGGAGUCUGUUCUUUUAUGCAGCCUAAAGAUCAAGUAAUAAUCAUUGACACUGAUACUGAGCAUGUCGAUUUUGAAGAGACUAGCAUGAACCUUGAAGAAUCAUGUUCUUCCUAGGAAUUACAAAUCCCCCGAUUCCAUGUCUAACAUAAUUUCUACUGGCCUCUUUGCUUCUCAUGCUUUAGUACCAGUGCUUCUGAAUUUGAAAGUCUUCAUGCAAAUUGCCCAGGUUUGCUGGCAGCUGUGUCUCAGAAAAAGCUGUCUUCAGCAAGGCAGAAGCAGACAAGAUCCAGCUCUAUUGCCCAAGCUGGAGUGCAGUGGUGAGAUAAUGAUUCACUGCAGCCUUGAUCUCCUGGGCUCAAGCAGUUCUCCUGCCUCAGCCUCCUGAGUAGCUGGGACCACAGGCACCCUCCACCAUGUCUGGCCAAAAUUUUUUGAAUUUUUUGUAGAGACCAGGUUUCACCAUGUUGCCCAGGCUGAUUUCAAAUUCCUGGGCUCAAGUGAUCUUCCUGCCUCAGCCUCUCAAAGUGCUGAGAUUACAAGUGUGAGCCACCACACCCAGCCAAAAUAUAAAUACGCCUUUAAUAGUAACACCUAAUUACCUAACACCAUCAAAAAUGGGGUGCUCCAUGAAGAAGCACAUAAUUCAAAUUAUUGAAGUUUAUCCCUUCUAAUGACCACAUAGAUUUCUCUUGCCCCAUUAAAAAAUUAGAUAAUCAGUAUUUCUAGGAUAGUUGUUUUCUUCCAACCAAUUAAGGCAUAAUCUAUGUAGCAGAACAUUCAGAGGAUGAUGCCUGGUCAACAUUUGAAUAAACAAUCACUGUGAUGUUACCUCUAUUUAAGAUGACUCCAAUAAAACUUCUAUGGUUUGCAUUAUUAGUUGAUCAGACUUUAAGCAUUAUCUUUUGAUAGGGUCAAGGAACCUGUCUUAACUCCCCAUCUCUGACCAAAAUAUACUUGUUUUCUAUAAGCUAUAAAGCCAGAUAGCCAAUUUUAUGAGAAUUGUCCCUAUACUAUAUCCAUGUGAGCGAUGAGUGCCUGGCAUGAAGAUGCAUAAAGGAGGCAGUAAUAUACAACAACUGAAGCAUAACCUCUGGAGCCAGUCUUCUUCAGACAAAUCCCAAUUCCAUUACUCACUGGCCACCUAAACAAGCUACUUAAUUCAUCUGCCUCAGUUUUCUUCAACUGUUUAAUGGGUAUGAUCAACAAACCAACUUCAGUGGGUUAUCAUAAAUAUUAAUAAAUGAGAGAAUGCAUGUGAAACAAAGCUAUAAGCAAUCAUUAGUAAUAAUAAUAAAAGAUGAUCAUUAUUUUUCAUGGAGUUUUUGCUAGUGCCAUGUACUGUUUUGUUAAUACUAAUUGCCUGAUUUUCUGUCCAUGAAUUUUUGGCUGAUCUAAGUUUCCACUUCCCUCACCCCUUGGCUGGGAUCUAGGUAUGAGAGUUGCUUGGCAAGCAAACUAGAGAUAAGUAAGGUGUUACUAUAUAAAGUUAAUGUAGGCACAUAUGAAUAUCCAAACAUGCCAUAAUGUUGGGGUUUGACCCUUUCCCUAAUACUCAGUUUCUUCAUUUGAAAUGUUCUAAUUGGUGUUUUUAUGUUGG
RNAcentral lists this long non-coding RNA (2231 nucleotides) under Homo sapiens (human). RNAcentral's name for it is "HSALNT0162721". Lineage: Eukaryota; Metazoa; Chordata; Mammalia; Primates; Hominidae. The record is from RNAcentral.